CUAUAUCGCGUUGAAACACCAGUUUUGAUAUGAUCAUCGUAGAUAAGCAACGUCGAGCCUGGUCAGUACCUAGAUGGGGGAACGUUUGGGAAGACUAGGUGGUGUAA
Non-coding RNA from Acanthosepion pharaonis, 107 nucleotides. NCBI's taxonomy places the organism in Eukaryota, Metazoa, Mollusca, Cephalopoda, Sepiida, Sepiidae. The record is from the annotation of a GenBank genome assembly.